GAUGAACGCUGGCGGCGUGCUUAACACAUGCAAGUCGAACGGCGGCACGGGUGCUUGCACCUGGUGGCGAGUGGCGAACGGGUGAGUAAUACAUCGGAACGUACCUUAUCGUGGGGGAUAACGCAGCGAAAGCUGUGCUAAUACCGCAUACGCCCUGAGGGGGAAAGCGGGGGAUCGCAAGACCUCGCGCGAUUAGAGCGGCCGAUGCCUGAUUAGCUAGUUGGUGGGGUAAAAGCCCACCAAGGCGACGAUCAGUAGCUGGUCUGAGAGGACGAGCAGCCACACGGGGACUGAGACACGGCCCAGACUCCUGCGGGAGGCAGCAGUGGGGAAUUUUGGACAAUGGGGGCAACCCUGAUCCAGCAAUGCCGCGUGAGUGAAGAAGGCCUUCGGGUUGUAAAGCUCUUUUGUCAGGGAAGAAACACCGGCUCUAACACAGUCCGGGAAUGACGGUACCUGAAGAAUAAGCACCGGCUAACUACGUGCCAGCAGCCGCCGCGG
This 501-nucleotide ribosomal RNA is filed under the name uncultured bacterium. Its description in RNAcentral is "partial 16S ribosomal RNA". It matches the Rfam family "Bacterial small subunit ribosomal RNA", at positions 28 to 523 of the family's 1533-position model. The record is from RNAcentral.